AUGGAAGCAUCGCUGUCAUAGCCAUGGGACCUGGAGCCUUCUGGAGCUUGUGCAUCACCCUGUUUUUAGCUUGCUUCUCUGCUGCUUGCCAUGCUUUAUCUGCAUCAUAGAAUCAUAGAAUGGCCUGGGUUGAAAAGGACCUCAAAGAUCAUCUAGUUUCAACCCCCCUGACAUUAAAGAAACUCAGUAGAAGGUUUUCUCGUGUUGGUAGUUCUGAAAUAGAGCCAGGAGAAUUAGCUGUGUUGGAGUCACAACAUGGAGAGAGGGCUGUCAUUGUUUGGAACAGUAGUUGUAUUCUUCUGCAGAAAGCAUCUCACUGGCGUGAUAAUUCCUAGUUAUUUGCAGGUGACUAUCUGUAUAUUUACUGAUUAGAAUGAGAAGUCGUUCCUAUGUUCCAAUAACAGGCAGUGGGCUUGGCCAAAUGGCCAGAUCCCAGUUGGAAGUCGUGACACCAGCUACUAAGGUAUUUUUUUCUGCUUUCAAACAAACAUGGUAAUUUGAAGGAUCCUCAGCGUUUCUUCAGUGCCUUUCAUCCUUUGAUCUCAGAGCACUUUAUUUAUUCAGCCUCCUGGCAAAUUUGCUUGGAAGGGAAGUAUUGAGAGAGAAUAAUUUAUAGGACUUUGUGGCAUGGUGCCAUUUUGUUACAGUGUAAUUGCGCUUGAAAUAUUCAGUAGAACAUUGUUCUUGAGUUAAUGGAGAAGACUGUUGUUGGGCUACAUCCCUUGUGAUUUUUUUUCUUGUUUUGUGAAGCCUUCUUGCUGCGUGUGAGAUAAAUAAAUGAUUAUAUCUGCGUUCUUGAUAGCUGCUAUUGGAAGUGGUAAGCUUCAGUUAAAAUAUUUGUUGUUUUUUUUUUCCCCAAAUAGGGCUAUUUGAUUAGUUUGUCCUUACGUUUUUUCCCUUUCUCUUUAAAUAAUCCUAAAAUCUGGAUACAAAUUGUUUCCCUCUGCAUACCCGCUGGAGAAAACGUCUGUUUCCAUAAAUAACAAAAUGUUGCUGCAUUUUAUUUGUUGUAGGAAGAAAAAUAGCUAGUUGGAGGUGAACAGUUGACUUUAAGAUGAUAAAAAUUAGAUAUUUUUCCCUUUUCUUUUUCUGUUGAAUUUUGUUAGAUAUGACUGUUGAAUUAUGUGACAGUGACUGUUUAUGAUGAUGGACAGUGAUGGACACGACAAGAAGGAAUGGUUUUAAACAAAUACAGGGGAGGUUCAGGUUAGAUAUUAGGUGGAAGUUUUUCCACGCAGUGUGUCACCACCUUCUGUGUGAAAUGCAAGAUUUCGUCUGGAUCUGUUGAAGUCUCCCAUCUCCAGCAUCCCAUUUGUGCAUCUAAACAGUGGACUCAAACUGGUUUCCCAUCUCAUGUUUUAAGGUUGCACCUAUGAAUAAAUUCCAUUGUGGUUUGAGUUUAGUCCAAAAGCUUUGGCAUUACAGAAAAUCAUGAAUGUGAACCUGCCUGGAUGAGAUCUUGCCCACAGGCUCUUUGUAUUACUAAAGAAGUAGCAUCUCAGUGAGGAUGGCUAUGCUGAGUAGGUUAGAGGGUGUUGCCUAACAUCUUUGUAAGUAUCAGUCUGUUCUGCACAGUUGCGUGGUAUUGUUUUCUUUGAUUCCUAGCCAUACACCGGGCAGUUAUCAGCAGGUUACCCUGCUUUCUGUGUAAAGCAGAUGCUCUGCUGAACUGAAGAAUCCCGUGUCAUCAGCCAGAUUUCCUUCAGCCAUAUAGACAGCAUAUCAGUAACGAACCUUAGAAAAUAGGAUGUAUCCUCAUAGCUGAAGGGAGAGAAAAGUCUUUCCAUGGUAGAAGUGGGUACUGACAUUUUUCUUGGCUAAUGUUGGUGCUGAUGCCGCUGGUGGUCUGAUAGCCUUUGAAAAUUGCCUCCUUGAUCUGAUGAGACCUUGUAGGUAAUAUCUAGGUCUUGUGUCUUUGUGAAGUGAAAAGGUUUAUUUUUGUACAACUACAACAGUGUCGCAUAGUUUUAAAAAAAAAACAAGUAUGCAUAUAUAUACACACACAUAAUACUGAUGUUUUUUCUUCAUUGACGAGUUAAAGUAGCAACAGGGGAAUUGCCUGAAGUAGAGCAGCAGUAAAUUAAAUUUAUUUUGCCAUUUCCUAGCCAUUAUGGGCUCGGCUUAACCCCAUCAGUUCCAUCCUUUACUCUGAAUGAAGCACCUGAGCCUUGGAUCCCGAUGAGUGCGUUCUGUAGGAGAGUUAAUUACUGCGGCUCGCUUGGGUAGAACUGAGAGAAACCGUGGUGCUUUGGAGACAGAGAGGCAAACAUACCCUGAAAACCUUACAAACAGAAAGCCACAAUGGAUUUGACUUUCUGGUUUAUUGGUUCCACUGUAAUUGGCUGUAUUUUUGUAAAAAUAACAUCUCCCAUUGUCAGUUUGCAAUAGAAAAGGUGGUCCAGUUCUGGAGCAGAGCUCAUUGGUAGUGUGUAUGAAGCAGCCACAAUGGUCAAGCAGGGAAUAUGUAAAUAACCACAUUGUUUUUUAUUUCCUUCUUUUUUACAAUAACCUGUUUUCUCAAAUGGCUAUUGUGAGGUUUUACAAUAGAAUCAUAGAAUGGCCUGGGUUGGAAGGGAUCUUAUAGAUCAUCUGGUUCCAAUACCUUUGCCUUGGGCAGGAUUGCCAGCCACUAAGCUGCCCAGGAACUGACCUUAAAUGUCUCCAGGGAUUGAGCAUCCUCAGCUUCUCUGGGCAGCAUGUUCCAGUGCCUCACCACCCUCUGAGUAAAAAAUUUCUUAACAUCCAACCUAAACCUCCCC
Molecule: long non-coding RNA, 2759 nt
Filed under: Gallus gallus (chicken)
Lineage: Eukaryota; Metazoa; Chordata; Aves; Galliformes; Phasianidae
Source: RNAcentral